Molecule: non-coding RNA, 2704 nt
Organism: Manis javanica (Malayan pangolin)
Lineage: Eukaryota; Metazoa; Chordata; Mammalia; Pholidota; Manidae
Source: RefSeq, a predicted model, not a curated record
ACCUGGUCUCGGGAACCUCCGCUCAGCCCUCGGGUGAUCUGGUCCCUGAGAACGAGCGGCGCACCCACACCUUCUCCUCCCUCCCGCCCUCCUGCCCUCUCUCUCCCCAGCCUUCAGGGAAAGAAGCCCCUGGCUUUACAUCCAGGGCCCUCAUCAUGAAUCCUGUGCUUGUCAAGCAUGAAGGCUUCAUUCACCCACCUCUGUUCUAGGCCUCAGUCUCCUGGAAACCAAUGGGCUCUGCACAGGGUUUGAACUCUAGUUAGUUCCAUUCUGCUCCCAACUUCCCACUGACUGGCUCCUCCCCGAGGGUCAAUAUGAAUUUCCUUCAAACUUAGCAGUUGCUCUAUAACCAGGCCAUGAUCCAGCCAGCUUCAGCCUUCUUUACCUCCAGUAGGUCCUCCCUCACGGUGUUCCCCCCACAUGGGUCUGGCCUCUUGUGGCCACUAAAUGGUAGGUAUAUUUCCCAAGAUAUUCUCAGCCUUGUUAGCUAUUGGAGAAACCCAAACCAAAAAUUAGAUACUAUUUUACACAUACCAAGUUGGUAAAAAUUAGAUCAACCUAUACAUAUAAGGAUAUGGGUAAAAAAAAAGAACCUUCAUGAUAUAAAAUGAAGUAUUGACCUAUGUAGCUGUGUUGGGGAACAAUUAGCCAACAUUUUAUGAAAUUAAAUAAGGAUAUAACCUAUAAGCCUACAAUCUCAUUCCCUGAUGGGAUCUUUACAAGGGUGAUAUUCGUAGCAUUAUUUAUACUAGCAGGGAAGGUGGCAUUUUAGUUUCUAACUCAAGAAGAAUGGAUAAGCAACAUAUGGUUGGUAUAUACAACAGAAUACAUUUCCAAGAAUAGGAGCCAAGCCCGUUAAACUGUAUGCCUAUAGGGCAGGGCAUCAGGAAGGAAUUGGAGAUCAGAAACAAAAAGAAAAUAUAAACCAACGAAAUAACCCUAAGCUAGCAACUAAGAAGAAUUAUUAAAUUACUAGUAGUCAAUAAACAUUAAAGAGGGAAAAAGAAAAUCUUUCCCAAAAGUGAAAGGGUUCAGAUCAGGUCUAGAACUAAGAGAAAGGAUUAUUCUAAAGCUACCCUAUAGUAUUAGCUUCCUAGGGUAAGUUACUUUACCUCCUAAAGUCUCACUUCUGUUAUCUAUAAUCCAGGAAAAAUAGUUCUUCUCUCAUACCCUAGUGGAGUCCUGCAUGGAUGCCAGUAGAAAGACACCAAAGCUUGAAUUUCCUGUUAAACUCCUGAAAAAGUCACUUAACUCUGCCAUAGAGCCAGCUCAAAAAAUGAGUAAAAAUGCCAUGGAAAAGAAACAGAAACAAAACCCAAAUGCAAUGCUUCAUGCCAAAAGACAGUAAAAUACUGGCAGUAAACAUCUGAGGGCGGAGAUGGGAAUGGGAAUUUUUACUACCUUUUCUUCCCAUUCCUGUACAAGGCCACCAUUGCCCCUCUAGCAUUUUUGGUCAUCCAAAGACCUUAUCCUGUAUAAAAUUCGAUGAUGUCCCUUUCUCCAAGUAGAUGCAGCCCCUCCAGGACACAUCCUUUGGUACAGGAGCCCAGGCCAUGUUUCAGAGCUUACUAUUUACUUCUUGCAUCUUUGUUCUUAGUUUCACAGGAUACCCUCAAAAUAAUGUUUUUCAAAGUAAAUAAGGUUAAAUCCUUUUCUUUCCUGCCUCUUUCAAUGUGGUCUUAUUACUUAUUUGUAAUACAGUAAGCCUGGUUCUUUUAUGCUUAGUAUUCCAUUUUGGGUUCUCUUCACACUUAGUUGAGGUUUUUUGUAACUUUAUGUACAGUAAAAUCCACCGUGCUUUUAGAGUUCCGUGAGUUCUGACAAAUGCUUGUUCAUGUAACCAUCACCAGUUAUGACAUAGCCAAUUCUAUCACCCUCCAAAUUCCCUUACAGUGGUUUUUUUGUAGACAAGCCAUCACUGCUUCCUAGAAUUUGUCACUUUUGAAAAAUGUUUAAGUAAUACUUGAAUACUUCUUUUUUAAUAGUUUUUAAUCUUUUAAUUUUUUGAAACCUGGUUAUGUUUUUACUUGUCAUUCUUAAUUUUAAACAUAGCCACUGAUGCUUUCCAAAGGCUAUCCAGUAUGUCAUCUGUGUUACUGGUUUCCAAUUCUAGGAUUUAUUUUUAAAUUGUCCUGAUACUUUGGUUUAUUAAAUCUAUAUUUGUUUACUCAUUUGUAUUUCUUUUAUUUGGUUUCAAGUACCAUUAUUUUUUUCAUCAUCUUAUGUUGAAUUUCAAGGAUAUUUGCUUUUAUCCCUGUGUCAUCACUGGAAAAAUUAGGGGUACGAAUUUUUUAAAAAUGUGAUUUGUCUGGAUUACGGAUUUUUUAUGUGUGUUCUAAUUCUAAUUAUGCCCUAAUUAUUUCUUAUAUAUAGAUAGUCUAUGAUUAUUGUUUUCUUUUUACCUAGACAUUAUUUCAGAGAGAUGUUUGUUUUUAAUAUAGAUUUCCUUAUCAUUUUAUUUUGUUUCAUUAUCUUAUGCUUAGUGAUGUUAACAUUGUAUGUUUUUGCAUGUGUGUGUGUGACAUAAUGUAUGGAGAAAUGCUACAAACAGUUCUUCUGUACUUGAAACUAAGAUAUAUUUUCUGUCCCUAAACUAUUGGAAUAUAUAUUCUUUUCUCAUGAUAUAGUAUAUCGACCUACCUAAAAUCACCAUAAAAUAUUGACAUUACUGUUCAAUUUUAAAUUUUAGAAUUGUUUUACCAUA